CAUGCAAGUCGAGGGACCGGCGCACGGGUGAGUAACGCGUAUCCAACCUGCCUUACACUCUUGGACAGCCUUCUGAAAGGGAGAUUAAUACAAGAUGUUUAAAGCCGGUGUAAGAUGGGGAUGCGUUCCAUUAGAUAGUAGGCGGGGUAACGGCCCACCUAGUCUUCGAUGGAUAGGGGUUCUGAGAGGAAGGUCCCCCACAUUGGAACUGAGACACGGUCCAAACUCCUACGGGAGGCAGCAGUGAGGAAUAUUGGUCAAUGGACGAGAGUCUGAACCAGCCAAGUAGCGUGAAGGAUGAAGGUUUAUGGAUUGUAAACUUCUUUUAUACGGGAAUAUGCAUGUACCGUAUGAAUAAGGAUCGGCUAACUCCGUGCCAGCAGCCGCGGUAAUACGGAGGAUCCGAGCGUUAUCCGGAUUUAUUGGGUUUAAAGGGAGCGUAGAUGGGUUGUUAAGUCAGUUGUGAAAGUUUGCGGCUCAACCGUAAAAUUGCAAUUGAUACUGGCAGUCUUGAGUACAGUUGAGGUAGGCGGAAUUCGUGGUGUAGCGGUGAAAUGCUUAGAUAUCACGAAGAACUCCGAUUGCGAAGGCAGCUUACUAACCUGACUGACAUUGAUGCUCGAAAGUGUGGGUAUCAAACAGGAUUAGAUACCCUGGUAGUCCACACGGUAAACGAUGAAUACUCGCUGUAGGCGAGUCUGCGGCCAAGCGAAAGCAUUAAGUAUUCCACCUGGGGAGUACGCCGGCAACGGUGAAACUCAAAGGAAUUGACGGGGGCCCGCACAAGCGGAGGAACAUGUGGUUUAAUUCGAUGAUACGCGAGGAACCUUACCCGGGCUUAAAUUGUGAAGGUGCUGCAUGGUUGUCGUCAGCUCGUGCCGUGAGGUGUCGGCUUAAGUGCCAUAACGAGCGCAACCCUUGCCGAUAGUUACUAACAGCUGAGGACUCUGUCGGGACUGCCAUCGUAAGAUGGAGGAAGGUGGGGAUGACGUCAAAUCAGCACGGCCCUUACGUCCGGGGCUACACACGUGUUACAAUGGGGGGCAGAGGGCUGCUACCACGCAAGUGGAUGCCAAUCCCACCUCUCUCAGUUCGGAUGAAGUCUGCAACCCGACUUCAGAAGCUGGAUUCGCUAGUAAUCGCGCAUCAGCCACGGCGCGGUGAAUACGUUCCCGGGCCUUGUACACACCGCCCGUCAAGCCAUGGGAGCCGGGGGUACCUGAAGUGCGUAGCGCCCUAGGGUAAAACUGGUGACUGGGGCUAAGUCGUAACAAGGUAACC
This 1281-nucleotide ribosomal RNA is filed under the name Phocaeicola massiliensis. RNAcentral describes it as "bacterial SSU rRNA". It matches the Rfam family "Bacterial small subunit ribosomal RNA". RNAcentral also lists the same sequence under 1 other name. Lineage: Bacteria; Pseudomonadati; Bacteroidota; Bacteroidia; Bacteroidales; Bacteroidaceae. The record is from RNAcentral.